Molecule: non-coding RNA, 244 nt
Organism: Paralichthys olivaceus (Japanese flounder)
Lineage: Eukaryota; Metazoa; Chordata; Actinopteri; Pleuronectiformes; Paralichthyidae
Source: RefSeq, a predicted model, not a curated record
GAUCAACGGAGGUCAGCCUUUUACACCGGAGAGAAGGGAUGGUGUCAACUGGAGAUGGAGGAUGAAGUGAGAAGAGAGACCACGGAGAAAUGACGCCACGAGAGAGUUGCAGUCGUGGGGAAGGAGCCGAAGGAUUCGAGGUCCCGCCGAUACAUUCGCCAGCCACCAGGGGGUUUGACAUGGUGCAGCGUGUUCCAGCAGCAACGAGCGAGGGAGAGACGAGGAGCGGCAUGUUUAUUCAUGU